Long non-coding RNA from Labeo rohita (rohu), 3939 nucleotides. RefSeq lists it as uncharacterized. NCBI's taxonomy places the organism in Eukaryota, Metazoa, Chordata, Actinopteri, Cypriniformes, Cyprinidae. The record is from RefSeq and is a predicted model, not a curated record. The transcript is spliced from 4 exons.
GAAAUUUUACAUGGUCAGCUGAAAGUUUGCCAACAAUUUUCAUUAUAUUGAUACAAUAUUAUUAGUAUUAUUAAUGUACUAUUUUACAAAAAAAAAAAAAAAAAAAGAAGUAGUGAAAGCAUCAAGGUAGAACAUCUUUCAGCAGGAUGCAGCUAAAGCCAUAGUUCACUCAUACUGAAAAUUCUGUCAUCAUUUAAUUACACUCAAGUGCAUCCAAACCUGUAUGAGUUUCUUUCUUAUGUUGAACAUAAAGUAGACUCGUAAGAUUGAGUAAAGGUAGGAGGGUAGCUGGCUCGGACUGUCAAAAAGCAAGCAUGAACUUGAUGCAAGCUACAACAAGUAGCCAAUGCAAUGCAUCUGAAACGAACCUAAUUUCACUGGUUAAGGUUAGGGUCAGGUGUGUGGUAGGUUCAGUGGUUAGCAUUUGUGUAGCAUAUAGGAAAUCAACACUGUGACUGACACAACCAAUAAAACAUUUAGAAUCAGCUGUGGGGUGGAGUUUGCGCUUAAGUGGAUUGGGAGGAAAAUUGCACUUGCGUCAUGUGCCUGUCUGUCAAUGGGAGGAAGCCAUGCCCUAUUCUGGAGCUCCCACCCCUUUUUGGAGUUACUGUCCUCAUUUGGAGAUCUGCAGGCUGCAGUUAUCCACCUUAUCUUUCCCAUAAGAGUGGGUGCAGCCGUUUGUCUGGCUUCCAGUCUCAUCCACUUCCAGCUAUUUUUAGCUGCUUGAUAUUGCAAACUGGUGUGUGUAUUACCUUAGUUACAAACACACUGGUUUGUAGUGCAAACUGUUUUACCAUUUACUGUGUUUCGAUAUUCUUCUCGCUAUUUUCACUACGGUGGAUUAUGAACCGGACGUCUAACACAUUACCAGAAAACAGCUUACUUCCACAUUGAAAAAUAAGGUGGAUACUCUUCUUCAAAGAGCUGGCAUGAACUGAGAAGCGUGACAGCUUUUAAUGAUUAUAAAAAGAGUUUUCAAAUAUGAUGUUGAUUUUAUACAGCAGUUCAAUAAACAAGAAGUUAAUAUUUAGUGACUUUUAUUUUAGAAAUAUUUUUGUCUGAUUUUGCUCUAUUUCAUCAACAACAAUAAAACAAAAUCACAGCUAAACCACAGUGCAUCUCCAUGCAAUCACACAGCAAUUCUUUUAUGAAUGAUUCCCCCUGCAAAUCACUUAGGAGUCAAAUAUCACCUCAUAAUGUGAAGGUACAUUUUUGUUAUCGAUCAGGUGCGCCUAAAUUUUUGACUGCUGCUAAUUUUUAAAUCAGUCUCCCUUUUUAUUAAACACAAGGGCUCAUUAAUACACUGAAAAAAGUGCACAAGGCAUGUCAUUACUCUAAUGAAGUUGUUAUACUUGAGCUAACUCAAAACAUUUAAUUUUCUGUCUAGCCAUCAGUGUAAUGUAAAAAGUUUGGUUGAUUUAAAUUAGAAGUAAGUCUUGUUAGUGUAAAGUAAAUACAUUUCUGUAAAUUAAAUUAAAAAUAUUGGUUUCCAUUGUCUUCUAACGUCAUCCGUGGUCGUGCGUGUCGACGUUCAGCUUUCCGCCAUCUUGUUACACCGCAUGGAUGAACUCGGCGUGGUAAAACGGGAAUCAAGAAAAUUGGUAAGUAAUUUUAAACAUACGUUUGGGCUUAUUAUUAACAUUAUACAUGUAUGAUUUUAUAAAAUAUUAUGUUGUACUGUUGUUUUACAUACAGUUAGUAUUACUAGUUUGACGGCUCUAACUCGGCUAGAAGGUUUACAAGUUUCCCUCAUCACGAUGUUAAACCGAGUGGAAAUAAUAAAAAAAAAAAUAAUAAUAAUAAUAAUACAAGUAAACUGCUAGAGGUGAGAUGCGGUUAGAAGAAAUCUCUAGCAUUAAUCCUGAUCAUGGCAUGUCUUGAAAAACGGAGACAGUAUGAUGUUCGUCAUAGAAGACACACUGCAGGACUGCCAGACACUGCCAGAAUUUCUUUGUAACAGCCAUUAAUCGUCUGUCGUCUGCAGCUUUUAGCCUAGGAUUAUAGAAAUCCUGUAGGAUUUUCAAAAUUUGUCUCAGACGGCCAAAUCGUGGCCAAAAUCGCACAGUGUGAGCCCGGCUUAACUCUCAAACCUCUAACUCGGCUAGAAGGUUUACAAGUUUCCCUCAUCACGAUGUUAAACCGAGUGGAAAUAAAAUUAAAAAAAAAUAAUAAUAAUAAUACAAGUAAACUGCUAGAGGUGAGAUGGAUUGAUAUUGAAAUGUAGUAUAAAGACUGUUUCUGGUAUACUGGAGUGCGAUACAACAGCGUGCAUGUACUUUAUAGAUGGCACCGCCAUGUAUAACGUACAUGCACGCUUCAGACGCUUUGUAUGGACUUAACGUUGUUAUGAAGCUUUAUUAUUAUGAUGAUUUUUAUUGAUUUAUUAUGAAGCUCGCGUUCGCGAGGUAUUCGCUGUCCUUACUUGUAUAGUCUCUCAUUUAUGAUUAAUGUUAACACAUAACGGUAGCUUAACCAAACACGUCUUCAGUGAUGUGCCUAAACACUUGUUAUUUUAACGUAUUGCGUCGACCAGCUUACCCAGUAAAGAAGUCGUCUGUUUACUUUUAUGUGAGCCAGUUUGUUAUUUCUCUUUGUCUUUUGUAGGAUGGGGUACAGCUCAACAACAAUUAAGACAGGUUUUAAAUAAUCCAGUCACAUGAAAAACAUUAAUGCCGAAUUUUUGCAAAUCACGACCCUACAUUUACAGUUGAGAAUUAUGGCCUCUUUGGACAGACAGAGCUCUCAGCUUCUCCAGGUUAUUAGGAGCAAAGGUGGGGUCCUCCGUGAAAAAACGUUAAAGUUAUGGAUCAGAGUCUGGACAUAGACAUCAGAAGAGAGUGCCUGCUGAAGUGCCUGAUCAUGUACCUUCAUGUAAGAUGCAAGCUGUCUGAUCAAAGAAUACCAGGCUGACCAGAGGGAGGAAGCGGAGAGAGAAUUUGAAAAGACCACCAUGGCAUUUUUUGUGAUCCGCGAAAGUGAUGCUCUUAGUUGUGCACUGGACAUUUCCAUUGUCAUUGACGGUGUGGAAGUACUAAAUGAGUUGCCCUCUGUUGCAUGUGUCUGUGCCAUGAUGUUUGGACUCAUUUAUGCACUGAACUUAAAAUAUCCUGAAGGACUCAAAUAUACCUUUGAGGCCUUUCAAAAAAUAAUCAUUGACAUAGAGAGUAAGCAGAUGAGCCGAAGGGUGCAGAACCUCUCUUCAAAGCUGCAGGAGUACAUUUAUUUCCUUUGACCCAGCUACAGUGUUCUGCUGAUGGUAAAUUUCUUCGAAGAUGUUGGACUGUAUAAAGCCUUUUGUACAAAGUUAACUGUACUACUGUUUACUAAACCUGAUUUGUUUUAUCUUGGUUAAGUUGUGUUUUAUCUAGGGUUAGUUAAAUAGUUUACCCAAAAAUGAACAUUCUUACAUUGUUUACUCAUCCUUAAGCUAUUCAAGUAUUUAACUUCAAUUAAAUUUGGUUCAGAGACAUUUUAUGACAAUUUUUUGAUAAGUUUGAGAUAACUGAGAUAAGUUUCAUUUUGGGGUAAACUAUUCCAUUGGCUAAUUUGGUAGGUAUUUUAUUAAAAGUGUUUGGUUUUACACUGCCCAUUUUAAACCAGUUUUUGGGCCAAACUUGUUUUAACUUCAGAGGAAUUCUAAAGGUUUUAUUGUGUAGUCAGUUCUAAGUGACUGUUCAUGGAAAGAUUGCAUGUUUCUCUUUGAAAUGAUAACUGAUUCUUAUGGUGAAUUUACAUUGUAUCCAGUGUGUCUAUGUAUAUGGAUACUAAAAACUGUUAUACAGUAUGUUUUUAUAACAAUACUAUACAGAUUGUAGAAAUUUUUUAUGACAAAAAUGGUCAAGUUUAUGAUGUGUUUACAUUGUUAGUGUGUAUUGGUAUGAGAAUACUGUGCACAUUGUAAAAAAACUUGUAUUAUGACAAAAUAAAUUGUCAAAAGUU